AAAAAUCCUUUUAUUUUCAGAUUAAUGUCUAAAUUUUGCAUUUUCUAAUUUUAGUUUAAGGCAAAAAAUAUUGGUUUAAUCGAUUUUUCGUAAAAUUUCCCCGGUAGAUUUUUUUUAAAAACAGAUAUGUCAAAGCUAUGAACUUUUCGAACAUUUUAAGGUAAAAUAAAAUGGGGGUCACCAGGCUUUUAAAAAAAGUUACGAGCUUUUGUUUAACCCCUCUACCCCAUAAGGUCUGAUUUCAUUGCACUCCAUUAAUUACUUAAUUGUGAAUUCUUUAUUGAUGGCUUUAAUAAAAUAAUGUUUGUAAUUAUAUCAAUAAACGAUUGCUGAAUAUAAAUGUGGUUAUCGUAUUACUGUUUGUUAUCAAAAAGUGAAAUUUUGAUUAUUUUGGUGAAAUACGGUAAUUUUGUCUGGCGCGAGUUGCUUCCCUCUAAUUUGGCGCCAUUAUCGGACCAGAGGAAUUUCAAGGUCGCCAUUGCCGAGCAGCAUACUAUAUUGAUGAAUACGACCAUGUACAUGCAUAACAGACAUUGUGGCGAAUAUACAACGAUGAAGGUAGAGUUAUUACAUAAGAAAACAUAGAUUUCGAUAUAUUAGGCAGCCAAAUGUUAUCAGUAUAACGAAAAAUACAAACUUGGGGGUUGUCUCAAAAUACUCGCUACUGUUGAAAAUCACUGCGGCUGAAACCUUGCACGGGCUCAAUUUCUGUUCCAUGUUUAAUAUUAUAGAUCGUUAUAGCUGGUAUCUUAUUUAUGUGUUUAUUUUACCUUUUACAGACAAGUUGUAAACAUGUCUGGCCAGUUUUGCAAAAUAUCCGUGUGCAAACGGCCGAAGAGGAAGGGAUGACAUCUACUGUCAUUUUUACGCUACCGUUAGCAAUGGUUAGUGUCAAUGAAUUAGUCUUUUUUAAUCAUCAUUUUUAAUAACUUAUUUCGUAGCCAAGUUAGGUUCAAAUUAGUCCGAGAUUAGCCCCAGCUUGUCUGGCAAAACAGCCGUUGGACGUCAGAGAAAUCUCGGACUAGGGUCAUAUGUAUGUGGGGUACCCCAUAACUUCGGUUCAUCGGGACAGUUUCUACUCCUUGACCCCAACUAUAUUUCCCUUCCCAUUUUACUCUAAAUCCCCCCCCCCCUUUUUACUUCAAUUCUUCCAUCUCCUUGCCCCAAGACAAAAUAUAUUUCAAAGAUACCCCCUUUUCCCUGAUCCCUCAUUCCCCUGUCUCCUUACCCCUGUCCACCCCUCUAUUAAGGUCUGGGGUUUGAUUGACUUCUUUAUUUUCUUGAGAAUAUGAUAUAAUUGGCCUAAUUUGUAAAUGAUAAACCCUACAGUAGGAGGCAAACGAAGGAUUCAUCUUUAUCAAUCACAAUUUGUUUACCAUUAACCCCCCCCCCCCCCUAAUUCUGUUAGGUAUACAAAAAUGUCUUAAGGUCUAGUAAUAGAAGUAUCAGGGUUAAACAUGUACAGAAUGCGGCCAUAAGUAUUUGUCACUUGAGAUUUUUUAGCUGUUCAUAUAUAUUGUAUAUAAUAUAAAAAAGAAGAUGUGGUACGAUUGCCAAUGAGACAACUAUCCACAAAAGACCAAAAUGACACAGACAUUAACAACUAUAGGUGUAUACAUUUUUUCAAAAAAAAAAAUAUUUUGGAUUGAUUUUAAGCAUCCUGGUACCAAUAGAAGCAGUAUUAUCACAGGUUUAUUUUUUGGUUAUAUUUUUUUUGUGUCUCAUUUUCAUUAUUUUCUGUUCAGAAAUUCGAUAUACAUGUAUAUUCAACCAAAUUAAAUUAUAAAAAAAUAUUUUAUGUGUUCUCAAGGGAAAACAAAAAUAAAUGAAAACGAACCUAUUAUCAAAUAAACACAUAUUAAUUUAGACCAUUUUAGUUCUUUUAAGGUUACCCUUGCAUUGUCAGUCUUAUCAAACUUGCAUGUACCUCCCAAAUUUGGUUUCUGUUCUCCAACUUCUAUUUGCCUUCCUCUACCAAUGUUAUGAAACUAAUACACAAUUAAUGCAUAUAUAUAUGCUUACUACAUUGUACCAACAAACACACAUGAAGUUUGAAUUUUUGGUGGGGUCGCUUUUACUUUUCUAGAGUUAUGCCCCUUUACAAAUUAAAAAAAUGCUGAAAUUUUGUUCCUUUCUUUAACACAAGUUUGCUUCAUCCAAAUGUUCUGAAACUUAUAUGCAAUGCUUACUACAACAACACUCAGAUCAAGUACAAAUUUGGGUGGUGUCACCCUUUUCAUCCUUUAUAUGCAAGCGGCUGCUCAUCUGUGUCCCAUGGACACAUUACCAUUAUGAACUAGUCUACAUCUAUAUGCUUUUGAAUGUCAAUAAUUGUUGAUUUUCUGACAGAAUUACUCUGAUAUUUAAUUUCAGGCUGCAAGUACAUUUGUACAUGUACAUUGCAAAUGGAAGGAGUGAGCUUGGAAUGUUCAACUUUACUUGGAAACUAUUGGCAAAGUACUGACAGAAUUUCAUGAGAAGCCAGUAUCAUAUUCUAGUCUUGCAACCGGAAACUAUGCGUAAAGUGCUGAAACUUAAGAACAACAUUCUACAUGUAUAUAUGCAAUAUAUGUUGCCACAAUCCACUUAAGGAGCUAAGAUCAACUAUAAAUUGGAACUACAUGUAUAUGCUUUAGUGCUGUCAAAAUCCUUUAAAAAAAUCAAAUCAAAAGGACCUACUUCACCUAUAUAUAUAGCUACCUGUCCCAAUGAUGAAUACAGAUCAUAUAUAUGAGUCUACUCUUAUAAAUAAAACAGUGAAGGAGAAUAAAAAUAAAGAAAAUAUAGAGCUGAUCAGCUAAUGAUUGUACAUGUACAUGAUGUAUAAAUGGCAACAAUUCUUACAUGUAUACUAGUACAUUGAAAUUAAUUAUAUUAAUAGAUGUUUUAUAAAUUUGAUCUCAUAGAUAUUAGAGGAAUAAAAUCAAUCACGUUUCAAAAAUUUGAUUUAGUUGAGCC
Molecule: long non-coding RNA, 2958 nt
Filed under: Mytilus galloprovincialis (Mediterranean mussel)
Lineage: Eukaryota; Metazoa; Mollusca; Bivalvia; Mytilida; Mytilidae
Source: RNAcentral